Cavia porcellus (domestic guinea pig) is the source of this 2644-nucleotide RNA transcript. It is a transcript of the gene named zinc finger protein 410, with no coding region annotated. Lineage: Eukaryota; Metazoa; Chordata; Mammalia; Rodentia; Caviidae. The transcript has 13 exons. The record is from RefSeq and is a predicted model, not a curated record.
GGCGUCCUGGGCCGACCUGGCCCCUGGGGAGGACGGAGAAACCGCCCCCCUAGCGGACCCCUUCGGCUCGGGCGGGCCUGGGGGCGGCCGGCCUGCAGCCCUGCGGCUUCGGCCCUCCCCUGGUUAAAUUGGUUACCAACCUACUUCAGCAUCUUAUGGGAAAUGUAUAGAGUUUUCUAAGGAAUAUGACCAUAACAGGAAGAUAUCAUUGACUCUGAAUUAACUGAACCUGUACCCUGAAGAGCUAUAGGAUUUUGGAAGCUGAAUCAAUGUUAUCAGAUGAGUUAGAAUCCAAACCAGAGCUUCUGGUGCAGUUUGUUCAGAAUACCUCCAUCCCAUUAGGACAGGGGCUAGUAGAAUCAGAAACUAAAGACAUUACUUGCUUGUCACUCCUUCCAGUGACUGAGACCUCAGAAUGCAGUCGGCUAAUGUUACCAGAUGAUACUUCAAAUCAUACUAACUCCUCCAAGGAGGUUACUUCCUCAGCUGUAUUGAGAAGCCUUCAGGUAAAUGUGGGCCCAGACGGAGAAGAGACGAGGGCUCAGACUGUACAGAAGUCUCCAGAGUUUUUAUCCACUCCAGAGUCUCCUAGCUUGUUACAAGAUCUACAGCCAAGUGAUAGCACUUCUUUUAUUCUUCUUAAUCUAACAAGAGCAGGUCUGGGCUCUUCUGCUGAGCACUUAGUGUUUGUACAAGAUGAAGCAGAGGAUUCAGGGAACGAUUUCCUCUCCAAUGAGAGCACAGACAGUAGCAUUCCAUGGUUCCUCCGAGUUCAGGAGUUGGCCCAUGACAGUUUGAUUGCUGCUACUCGUGCACAGUUGGCAAAGAAUGCAAAAACCAGCAGUAAUGGAGAAAAUGUCCACCUCGGUUCUGCUGAUGGGCAACCCAAAGAUUCCGGACCCCUUCCUCAAGUGGAAAAGAAGCUCAAGUGUACUGUUGAAGGAUGUGAUCGGACAUUUGUGUGGCCUGCUCACUUCAAGUAUCACCUCAAAACUCAUCGAAAUGACCGCUCCUUCAUCUGCCCUGCAGAAGGCUGUGGAAAAAGCUUCUAUGUGCUGCAGAGGCUGAAGGUGCACAUGAGGACACACAAUGGGGAGAAGCCCUUCAUGUGCCCUGAGUCCAGCUGUGGUAAGCAGUUCACUACAGCUGGAAACCUCAAGAAUCACCUGCGCAUCCAUACAGGAGAGAAACCUUUUCUUUGUGAAGCCCAAGGAUGUGGCCGUUCCUUUGCUGAGUAUUCUAGUCUGCGAAAACAUCUGGUGGUUCACUCAGGAGAGAAGCCUCACCAGUGCCAAGUCUGUGGGAAAACCUUCUCUCAGAGUGGAAGCAGGAAUGUGCACAUGAAAAAGCAUCACUUGCAGCUGGGAACUACUGGGAGUCAAGAGCAGGAGCAAACUGCUGAGCCACUCAUGGGCAGUAGUUUGCUUGAAGAGGCUUCAGUUCCCAGUAAAAACCUGGUAUCUAUGGAUUCCCAGCCCAGCCUUGGUGGCGAGUCCUUGAACCUACCAAAUACCAAUUCCAUCCUGGGAGUUGAUGAUGUUAUGGAAGAACUUAACUUUUAAAACAUUUAAACAGAACAUAACCAGGUUUUACAGAGGAGAUAUAAAGCAAUUUCUCCAUACCUUCAAAAGCCAUAUCUUCUGGAGAAAAGAAAGGGCCCUCUAGGAGUUGCUCCUCUCUGGUAUAGAAAUUUCACCCAAGUUACACAGGCCAGGCCCUCUUCUCUGAAAAACUUACCAGAGGUGCUUACUGAAGGAUCCCCACGUCCCCUGUCUUCAGUGCCUGAUGUAACACAUCACUUGGUGACCAUGCAGUCAGGGAGGCAGUCGUACGAGGUUUCUGUCUUAACAGCGGUAAAUCCACAGGAGUUACUAAACCAAGGAGAUUUAACUGAAAGACGGACAUGAGCGUGGGUGCUGACCUUUGAAGGAGCAGCUCUGCCUAAUCCGAGAGUGCACCGUGGGCGUAGGACAGAGGCCCCAGAGCCACCGGAACCAAAAUAAAUCUGUGAAGGACGGAACCCCUCUUUUGCCUCUUUACUUACUUCCCUGCAGAGAACAUGAGUGUGUGAGAGCUUCUCUUCAGCCAUCCCGUGAUCCAGACAAGAAACAAAGCAGGGCCUGGGCUGGUACCUCCACCUGCCUCUUCUCACUGCGGAAUUCUGGGACAGACUUUUCCACCCAGUGGCAAACAGGGUUGUGUUUGCUGAAGUUUUUCAUGACAACUGUUGAGGGAAGGUUUUCCUUCAGAGUUUUCACCCCAGACCCAGCUUUCUCUUCACAUGGAUGGUGAACAUCCUGCUGUCAGCCACAGAGCUUCUCCUUGAGUUUUCAAGAGGCCUUGUUGCUUUGAAGAAGGGAGUAAUGUCAGUUCUGUCAUGGCGUUCUCCUUUCAGCAACCUUAGUAAGAGACUCUCAGCCACUGGGCUGCAAAAAAGAAUUACUUGAAUCUCCCUUUGGCCGUGCUGAGGUUCUAUCUUGUCUUGUACACCUCUGCUCAGUCACUUUGCUUUCUUUGUUGAUGGAACAUACAGUAGCAUGUUAAGAAGGUUUUUUUUGUUUUUUGUUUUUUGUUUUUUUUAAAGUUAAAAAUCACAUGAUACAGAGCUUCACUUUCCCUUUAAAUAAACAAAACAGCCCAGUCA